RNAcentral lists this ribosomal RNA (396 nucleotides) under Serratia symbiotica. Its description in RNAcentral is "bacterial SSU rRNA". It matches the Rfam family "Bacterial small subunit ribosomal RNA", at positions 10 to 403 of the family's 1533-position model. The record is from RNAcentral. Lineage: Bacteria; Pseudomonadati; Pseudomonadota; Gammaproteobacteria; Enterobacterales; Yersiniaceae.
AGUUGAUCAUGGCUCAGAUUGAACGCUGGCGGCAGGCCUAACACAUGCAAGUCGAGCGGUAGCACAAGAGAGCUUGCUCUCUGGGUGACGAGCGGCGGACGGGUGAGUAAUGUCUGGGAAACUGCCUGAUGGCGGGGGAUAACUAGUGGAAACGGUAGCUAAUACCGCAUAACGUCGCAAGACCAAAGUGGGGGACCUUCGGGCCUCACGCCAUCAGAUGUGCCCAGGUGGGAUUAGCUGGUAGGUGGGGUAACGGCUCACCUAGGCGACGAUCCCUAGCUGGUCUGAGAGGAUGACCAGCCACACUGGAACUGAGACACGGUCCAGACUCCUACGGGAGGCAGCAGUGGGGAAUAUUGCACAAUGGGCGCAAGCCUGAUGCAGCCAUGCCGCGUG